This 523-nucleotide ribosomal RNA is filed under the name uncultured Chloroflexota bacterium. Its description in RNAcentral is "bacterial SSU rRNA". It matches the Rfam family "Bacterial small subunit ribosomal RNA", at positions 337 to 875 of the family's 1533-position model. The record is from RNAcentral. Lineage: Bacteria; Bacillati; Chloroflexota.
UCCUACGGGAGGCAGCAGUAAGGGAUAUUGCACAAUGGACGGAAGUCUGAUGCAGCGACGCCGCGUGGGUGAAGAAGGUUUUCGGAUCGUAAAGCCCUUUUCUAUGUGACGAGAGAGGACGGUAGCAUAGGAAUAAGUGUCGGCUAACUACGUGCCAGCAGCCGCGGUAAAACGUAGGACGCGAACGUUAUCCGGAGUUACUGGGCGUAAAGCGCGCGUAGGCGGUUAUUUAAGUUACCUAUGAAAGAUMCMGGCUAAACUUGUAUUGGUUAGGUAAAACUGGAUAACUAGAGAGAAAUAGAGGGAAGUAGAAUUCCSGGUGUAGUGGUGAAAUGCGUAGAUAUCCGGAGGAAYACCAGUGGCGAAGGCGGCUUCCUGGAUUUCCACUGACGCUGAUGCGCGAAAGCGUGGGUAGCGAACGGGAUUAGAUACCCCGGUAGUCCACGCCGUAAACGAUGUACAUUAGGCGUUCGGUUACKCAAGUAAUUSAGUGUCGCAGCWAACGCGAUAAAUGUACCGCCUG